This 92-nucleotide transfer RNA is filed under the name Pollutimonas bauzanensis. RNAcentral describes it as "Alcaligenaceae bacterium BZ59 Selenocysteine transfer RNA". It matches the Rfam family "Selenocysteine transfer RNA". Lineage: Bacteria; Pseudomonadati; Pseudomonadota; Betaproteobacteria; Burkholderiales; Alcaligenaceae. The record is from Rfam by way of RNAcentral.
GGAAGGUAUUCGUGCCCGGUGGCACGGCCGGGCUUCAAACCCGGUUGGGGGCGUCAGACGCUCCCAGGUAGGUUCGACUCCUGCUGCUUUCC